UGGAGAACUGCGAAGAGCCAACCCUAGUAUGAGAGGAACGGGUUGGGCCAAUUUAUGGUGUACCGAUUGUUAUACCAAUAGCAGUGUCGGUCAACUAAGAUGGUAUGGAAGAAUUGUUGCAUUGCAGGAAAUUCUUCUUUAUACAAGUUCUUGGACGAGGUUUUUAAACAUCACUUCAAUAGGCGAGAGGUGUAACCACCGCAAGGUGUUCAGUGAUCUCAUACUAAACGAAUGG
This 235-nucleotide non-coding RNA is filed under the name Cucumis melo (muskmelon). RNAcentral describes it as "Bacterial large subunit ribosomal RNA". It matches the Rfam family "Bacterial large subunit ribosomal RNA", at positions 2656 to 2912 of the family's 2925-position model. RNAcentral also lists the same sequence under 1 other name. Lineage: Eukaryota; Viridiplantae; Streptophyta; Magnoliopsida; Cucurbitales; Cucurbitaceae. The record is from Rfam by way of RNAcentral.